AAUAGCAAAAUGCAGUUGCUAGUAUUGGGGUUGAAAAUCCUUGAUUUCAUUGAGAAUGAUGGUUAUACGGUUAACCUUUUCUAUUGACGGUUCGGUCUUUGUAACACCCCGAACUCAUGGCCGUUACCAGAAAUCGAACACGAGGUGUUACCGGCUUACUUCAUUUAUUUCCCCCUAUAUUUUUUUUGUUCCAGGCAAGCUGGCUACUGUAUCGUGGUUGCUUUAAAAAUCAUAUUUUGAGUUCUAAAACUCGAAAUCCAAUUCUUUAAAUUUUCCCC
RNAcentral lists this long non-coding RNA (278 nucleotides) under Gossypium barbadense (sea-island cotton). RNAcentral's name for it is "long non-coding RNA (GBAR_LNC001361)". Lineage: Eukaryota; Viridiplantae; Streptophyta; Magnoliopsida; Malvales; Malvaceae. The record is from RNAcentral.